ACGCUCGACACCUACGGAGGCAGCAGUCGGGAAUAUUGCGCAAUGGAGGAAACUCUGACGCAGUGACGCCGCGUAUAGGAAGAAGGUUUUCGGAUUGUAAACUAUUGUCGUUAGGGAAGAAAAAAGACAGUACCUAAGGAGGAAGCUCCGGCUAACUACGUGACAGCAGCCGCGGUAAUCUGAGCGGGCUGGCAAGGC
RNAcentral lists this ribosomal RNA (198 nucleotides) under uncultured bacterium. RNAcentral's name for it is "partial 16S ribosomal RNA". It matches the Rfam family "Bacterial small subunit ribosomal RNA", at positions 328 to 539 of the family's 1533-position model. The record is from RNAcentral.